This 420-nucleotide ribosomal RNA is filed under the name uncultured bacterium. RNAcentral describes it as "bacterial SSU rRNA". It matches the Rfam family "Bacterial small subunit ribosomal RNA", at positions 355 to 772 of the family's 1533-position model. The record is from RNAcentral.
UGGGGAAUUUUGGACAAUGGACGCAAGUCUGACCCAGCCAUGCCGCGUGCCGGAUGAAGGCCCUCAGGGUUGUAAACGGCUUUUAUUCGGGAAGAAGAGCACGGAUGCGCCUGUGUGUGACGGUACCGAAUGAAUAAGCACCGGCUAACUCCGUGCCAGCAGCCGCGUUAAUACUGAGGGUGCGAGCGUUGUCCGGAUUUAUUGGGUUUAAAGGGUGCGUAGGUGGCUAUUUAAGUCAGUGGUGAAAUACAGCCGCUCAACGGUUGAGGUGCCAUUGAUACUGAAAAGCUUGAAACAAGUAGAGGCGGCCGGAAUGGAUGGUGUAGCGGUGAAAUGCAUAGAUAUCAUCCAGAACACCGAUUGCGAAAGCAGGUGGCUACGUUUGAUUUGACACUGAGGCGCGAAAGCAUGGGGAGCGAA